AUUGAACGCUGGCGGCAGGCCUAACACAUGCAAGUCGAGCGGAUGAAGGGAGCUUGCUCCUGGAUUCAGCGGCGGACGGGUGGGUAAUGCCUAGGAAUCUGCCUGGUAGUGGGGGAUAACGUCCGGAAACGGGCGCUAAUACCGCAUACGUCCUGAGGGAGAAAGUGGGGGAUCUUCGGACCUCACGCUAUCAGAUGAGCCUAGGUCGGAUUAGCUAGUUGGUGGGGUAAAGGCCUACCAAGGCGACGAUCCGUAACUGGUCUGAGAGGAUGAUCAGUCACACUGGAACUGAGACACGGCCCAGACCCCCCGGGGGGGAGGCAGGGGGGAAUUUUGAAGAUGGGGCGAGGGCCUGAUCCACCCAUGCGGGGGGUGGGAAAAGGGUUUUCGGAUUUAAAACCUUUUUAAGUUGGGAGAAGGGAAAGAAAUUUAAUCCCUUGUUGUUUGGACUUACCAAAAAAAAAAGGCCCCGGCAAACUUCGUC
Molecule: ribosomal RNA, 484 nt
Filed under: uncultured bacterium
Lineage: Bacteria
Description: partial 16S ribosomal RNA
Rfam family: Bacterial small subunit ribosomal RNA
Source: RNAcentral